Asterias rubens (European starfish) is the source of this 70-nucleotide small nucleolar RNA. RefSeq annotates it as small nucleolar RNA SNORD18. The transcript has a single exon. Lineage: Eukaryota; Metazoa; Echinodermata; Asteroidea; Forcipulatida; Asteriidae. The record is from RefSeq and is a predicted model, not a curated record.
GGGAAAUGAUGAUUUCUUUUACACUUGGUUCGUGUUUCUGAAUAAUUGAUGUUAUUGAAGUACUGAUCCC